Molecule: ribosomal RNA, 556 nt
Filed under: Candida albicans
Lineage: Eukaryota; Fungi; Ascomycota; Pichiomycetes; Serinales; Debaryomycetaceae
Description: LSU rRNA
Rfam family: Eukaryotic large subunit ribosomal RNA
Source: RNAcentral
AUUGCUUCAGUAGCGGCGAGUGAAGCGGCAAAAGUUCAAAUUUGAAAUCUGGCGUCUUUGGCGUCCGAGUUGUAAUUUGAAGAAGGUAUCUUUGGGCCCGGUUCUUGUUUAUGUUCCUUGGACCAGGACGUCCCAGAGGGUGAGAAUCCCGUGCGAUGAGAUGACCCGGGUCUGUGUAAAGUUCCUUGGACGAGUCGAGUUGUUUGGGAAUGCAGCUUUAAGUGGGUGGUAAAUUCCAUCUAAAGCUAAAUAUUGGCGAGAGACCGAUAGCGACCAAGUCCAGUGAUGGAAAGAUGAAAAGAACUUUGAAAAGAGAGUGAAAAAGUACGUGAAAUUGUUGAAAGGGAAGGGCUUGAGAUCAGACUUGGUAUUUUCCAUGCUGCUCUUUCGGGGGCGGCCGCUGCGGUUUACCGGGCCAGCAUCGGUUUGGAGCGGCAGGAUAAUGGCGGAGGAAUGUGGCACGGCUUUUGCUGUGUGUUAUAGCCUCUGACGAUACUGCCAGCCUAGACCGAGGACUGCGGUUUUUACCUAGGAUGUUGGCAUAAUGAUCUUAAGU